GUUUGGUUAAGUUAGAAAGGGCGCACGGUGGAUGCCUUGACACUAGGAGUCGAUGAAGGACGGGACUAACGCCGAUAUGCUUCGGGGAGCUGUAAGUAAGCUUUGAUCCGAAGAUUUCCGAAUGGGGAAACCCACCAUACGUAAUGGUAUGGUAUCCUUAUCUGAAUACAUAGGGUAAGGAAGACAGACCCAGGGAACUGAAACAUCUAAGUACCUGGAGGAAGAGAAAGCAAAUGCGAUUUCCUGAGUAGCGGCGAGCGAAACGGAACAUAGCCCAAACCAAGAGGCUUGCCUCUUGGGGUUGUAGGACAUUCUAUACGGAGUUACAAAGGAACGAGGUAGACGAAGCGACCUGGAAAGGUCCGUCGUAGAGGGUAACAACCCCGUAGUCGAAACUUCGUUCUCUCUUGAAUGUAUCCUGAGUACGGCGGAACACGUGAAAUUCCGUCGGAAUCUGGGAGGACCAUCUCCCAAGGCUAAAUACUUCCUAGUGAUCGAUAGUGAACCAGUACCGUGAGGGAAAGGUGAAAAGCACCCCGGAAGGGGAGUGAAAGAGAUCCUGAAACCGUGUGCCUACAAAUAGUCAGAGCCCGUUAACGGGUGAUGGCGUGCCUUUUGUAGAAUGAACCGGCGAGUUACGAUCC
Molecule: ribosomal RNA, 644 nt
Filed under: Bacillus cereus
Lineage: Bacteria; Bacillati; Bacillota; Bacilli; Caryophanales; Bacillaceae
Description: partial 23S ribosomal RNA
Rfam family: Bacterial large subunit ribosomal RNA
Source: RNAcentral